RNAcentral lists this ribosomal RNA (446 nucleotides) under uncultured bacterium. Its description in RNAcentral is "bacterial SSU rRNA". It matches the Rfam family "Bacterial small subunit ribosomal RNA", at positions 329 to 792 of the family's 1533-position model. The record is from RNAcentral.
UGCCAGACUCCUACGGGAGGCAGCAGUGGGGGAUAUUGCACAAUGGGGGAAACCCUGAUGCAGCGACGCCGCGUGAGUGAAGAAGUAAUUCGUUAUGUAAAGCUCUAUCAGCAGGGAAGAAAAUGACGGUACCUGAGUAAGAAGCCCCGGCUAACUACGUGCCAGCAGCCGCGGUAAUACGUAGGGGGCAAGCGUUAUCCGGAUUUACUGGGUGUAAAGGGAGCGUAGAUGGCAGUGCAAGUCCGGAGUGAAAGCCCGGGGCUCAACCCUGGGACUGCUCUGGAAACUGUAAAGCUGGAGUGCGGGAGGGGCAGGCGGAAUUCCUGGUGUAGCGGUGAAAUGCGUAGAUAUCAGGAGGAACACCGGCGGCGAAGGCGGCCUGCUGGACCGUAACUGACGUUGAGGCUCGAAAGCGUGGGGAGCAAACAGGAUUAGAUACCCCAGUA